This 1304-nucleotide unclassified non-coding RNA is filed under the name Hevea brasiliensis (rubber tree). Lineage: Eukaryota; Viridiplantae; Streptophyta; Magnoliopsida; Malpighiales; Euphorbiaceae. The record is from RNAcentral.
UAUGUGAUUAGGAAUGUAUGUGUAGUUUAAAGAUAGCAUUGAAAUCAGCAUGGUUCUAGGUGUAACUGCAGCAGAUAUAACACAGAAGUCGUAACCCUCUAAAGUUUCUGAAUCACAACUGAAUUGGCUAGGCCAGCUUGCUCUACCGUCUGGUCCAGAUCAGAGAGUUGUUUGGGAGGAAAGCCCACUGUCUGCAGUUGAUAAUUCCUUGACCCACCAGGCCUUGAUGCAUCAAUAAACCCUCGAAUAUCCCUGAUUGUGUGUUGGUAGUUAAACCGAGAAACCAUUCGUGUACCAUCUGCCAACCUUAGUUGAAUUGAGGUUGAGGGCUGUGACUGAUCAACAACUAGGCCCACUGAUGGGGAUGGAGCUGCGGUGAAUGAUGAGAUAGUAGCAGUUGAGUCUACUUGUUCAGCAUUGCUAGUGCUACCUAAAGUUCUUCCCACACCCUGAAAUAAUGCACGGCGCUUCUCUGGUACAGGGCAGUCCUCCUCUCUCCUUGUCAGAUUAACUCGGACAGACGUCCUCCUGUCUUCUGGCUCAAGUUCUUUUGGGCACUCAGACUUCCGGAUACUCUCUAAGAAAGGGGCAUUUUCUGGAUCAUCAAACCUCCGCAAGGGUCCAUCAUCAAUAGUGAACCCAUUGGUCCAGAAAGUGAUGGUAUGAGUAACACUCUCAGGUGGCUGAGGAGCAGCAGACACAGUCUCACCCGUAAGUCUUCUAGCAGUUCCAAUAAAGCUUCUAGAGCCAGAUGAUGCUGGAGGUCCUUCAACAGUUGCAUGUUGUCUAGCUUGAUCGAAUAUUGAGUUCACAUCAUUUGCCUUAGAUGGAUCUUGAACAAGCAUUCCGCUUUUCUCUCCGCCAGUAUAAUACUCUUGAGGCUCAUCGGAGUCACUCCCAGACCCAGUAACAGGACGACGAUUCAGAUCAGAAAAAGAGUGAAUUCCACCAGUUCUCCUCCCAGCAGCGCCGCGGCUAGAAGUUGGAGGGUUUCUAGGUCGAGGUGGAGAAGGAGAUCGCGAGCGCGACGGAGAACGGCCUUGCGCAGCAGCAACAUGAGUGGCGGCGGAAGCAUGGAUUGGAGCUUGAUCGCCGUCAUCAACGGCAGCAGCAGAGGCGGAGUUAAAGGUGUUGUUCUCGAAGAAGGUGGAAACAGCAGCAUCCAAAUCGAAGUUAUGGCUUUCAAGGAAGAAAAGGGCUUCAGGUUUAGAAGCAGAAGUAAUCUCACAGAAUGUGUUGACAAGUUCUUCUCUUUGUGCGUCGGCGGCGAGAUUUGCCUGAUUUUCCAUUUUUGCUGAAUUCUG